UACGAAGGGGGCUAGCGUUGCUCGGAAUCACUGGGCGUAAAGCGCACGUAGGCGGAUCGUUAAGUCGGGGGUGAAAUCCUGGAGCUCAACUCCAGAACUGCCUUCGAUACUGGCGAUCUUGAGUCCGGAAGAGGUGAGUGGAACUCCUAGUGUAGAGGUGGAAUUCGUAGAUAUUAGGAAGAACACCAGUGGCGAAGGCGGCUCACUGGUCCGGUACUGACGCUGAGGUAGCGAAAGCCGGAGGGAGCAAGAGGGGAU
RNAcentral lists this ribosomal RNA (258 nucleotides) under uncultured bacterium. RNAcentral's name for it is "partial 16S ribosomal RNA". It matches the Rfam family "Bacterial small subunit ribosomal RNA", at positions 524 to 779 of the family's 1533-position model. The record is from RNAcentral.